AUACUUCUCUCUUUUUAGACUUCUAGAUUGCACAAGUAGAACGAUCUGCUCUAGUUUAAACAAGUUGGGAUCCAUCAAUAUAAUAGGACUUUGUUUGCAUUUCACCUAGCUUGUAACCAAUAUCCUUAUUGCUAAUUUACCUCAAGUUUAUCUAACAUGGUUGAAAUGAGUGCUGUAAAGUUUCAUGUCUAAGCUCAAUUUUUAUCCUAAGUCCUGAAGUAAUUAUUUUGGUUACAUCAUAGUUUGCUGAGAAUAUUAACUUGAACAUUGUAUGUAUGCCCUGAUGCAUGUACACACACAGUUCAGCAAAUAUCGAGCUGCAGCGAAACAACCUGAGCUAGAGAACAUCAAGGAUAAGAUCAAGGAAGUUCUUGCCUUGUUGGCAACAUUGUGAGGUUCGUGCAUCAUUAGGAUUGCUUGAGUGAUCUCAGUAAUGUCAUUGUGAUGUUCCUAACCUCCCUCUUUUCGCUAUCCAGAUCAUGACCAAGCAUGACAAGAAGGGAGGCUCGUCAACCACCUACCAGCACACCUAUCAUGACCGAUGAUGAGACGCUAAAGUUGCACUUCUUGUUUGUACAUUCCUUGCAUGGUUGGUGUCAUGGAGAUAUGCAUGUGCCAUGUGUUGUAUGACCUCUCUGUUUUUGUUUCUUGUCAUAUGUACUUAUCCGUUGGCUUGUCCCUGAUGUAAUACCCACAUGGACUAUCAUACUGCUGGUUGGCUAACAAAUUGCAUUGCAAAUAUAUUGUUCUUCAUCGCCUAAUGCUUUUGGUUGCCGAUAACAGGACCUAUAGUUAGUAAACCUGCAAUUAGCAAGUUAUGUUUAUGGUCUAUCAUGCUGAAAUACAAAAAAUGUUUUGUGUCACAUGCUUAACAGACUUUGAACUAUAUACCUAGUUCAGCUAUACAGAAAAAUGCACCUGGUUCUUUAACACAUUGAACUAUUCAUCCUACCUGCUCAAACUACCAUCAGUAUCCAACAAACGGCUAUGGAAAUAAUUUUUGCCAUCAAUCCUUUAUUUUAAACAAGUAUUAAUAUUUUGGUAGGACAAAAAGUUGCAAAUUAUGAUGAUGGUUUAUGUUCCUUCUUUUAGGUUACGAGAGAUCAUGCUGGAGAGAUGCCCUUCCUGUAGGUCUGCACAUAAGCGGAAGUUCCUGGGUAUGCAAGAUUUGAUGGUUAAACUGGUUGAUGUGAUGUGAAUGAGUGUAUGGAAACUGGUUGUUGUGAUGUGAAUGAGUGUCUGUAGUUUCACGUGUUUUGUUCUGUAUAGCAUAUUGUAAUAAACUUAUUUUAGCUGUUAUUUGAAGAUUUUCAUAUGCUUUCUCUCUUCUGUCUGUUUGAUAUAUACAUAUAUAUUGCUUAUUAAUAAGAUGUGAAAAAUCUGACAUUUGGGACCCAUUUGUAAACUGGAGCUGGGAAAAAAAGCUGGAAAUAAAAAAUAAAUUGACUGCAAAAUGUUGUGCGCUAGAAAAUAAAAAGGCCAAAUUGUAGGCCAGGCCCAUGUAGCUAACCGAAAUUAACAUAAAAUACAUAUAUUAAAAGGGCUUGCCUAAAAAAAUACAUGGGCCAAAUUACUGGGUCAGACCCAUGUAGCUAAUAAAAGCACAGGAAAAAAAUACAUUAAAAAGGACGAAUUGUUGGGCUAGGCCCAUGUAGAAAAUCGAAUUGGACCGGGCUGAUUCUUGUGCCACAUCAGAUUGCCAUGUCGGAUGCCUACGUGGCCUGGGGAGCCUGUUAGUGACCAAAACAAAACAAUAGGCAUAUUUUGGUCAUAAAUGUCUACGACCUUCGUUAAUUUCAGUUUACGACCGCCAGCUUUUGACCUUCUGUUUUUGGUCACAAAAAGGUCGCAAAUGAAAAACAAUGACCUUUCAGUGACCAAUAGUCAAGGUCACAAGUUGACAUAUUUCUUGUAGUGGCACCACGGCGGUGGAUGACGGCGAGGCCUAGGAAGGGGAUGACACGGAGGCAUGGAAGACUCGGCAGUUGUUUCCCACGCGGAGGGGAGUACGACUGUAUGAGGGUUUACUGGUUCCUCUGCCGUCGCCGGAGAAUAACAACGGGUGUGGGUGAGUAGAGGGAUGGCUAGGCCAGCGAUGGGAGUACGGUGGGGCAGUGAGGCCUACGCGGCAGCACAGCCGGACGCGGGGAGGAGGGAGCAGGCAGUCCCGUCGGCGCUUGUUUGAGUGGCUGGAGCAGGAAGAGCAGAGAAGCACGACGGCCGUUGGAUAGACAUCCAACAGUCAGUGCUUGUGCGUCAACCUUUUUUUAGGAAAGGCUCAAAUCUGUGGAAAACAGCAUACAGCCCAUCUGCCAUUAUUUCUAAUAAUUUAAAGGCCAUUUGCUAAUUCUUAAGGUUUUUUUGGAGCCCAUAUUCUUUCUGUUAGCAUUACAGACCAUAUUGUGGCCAUGGUUAAAAAGUUAUACGAAAUUUUGCAUAUUUCGGUGCGGUCCAAACUGUUUUUAAUCCGGAAAUUUCGACUCACAUUCAAACUGAUUUUAAAAAUAAAUGUAUAUGAAUAUAAAUCCAACAAAUUCUCCACGCAUAAAAAUUAAUGUAAUUUAAAAUCUUGAAAUGAAAAAAAAAGAUAUUUGAAACUAAUUGUCGGUUUGAUGUGUUUUAAAAAUGUACAACCCAUUUCUCAUUACUGAUGGGCCAUUUUCUCGGCCAGCCGAAUGAAAACUCUCCUCGUCUUGAAAGAUUUGCAGCCCAACAGGCCUGACAAAGUGACUUACUUGGCAAAUCACAAAAAAACUGGGCUGUGGCCGUGGACCCAGCUGUCAGCCUCUCCACGUACAGUACUCUUCCGAUGGAAGUCGUUCCUUGACCACGUUGACCACGCCGCGCGGAGAGCACCAUGGCGGUGGACGACGGCGAGGCCUAGGAAGGGGACGACGCGGAGCCGGGGAAGAUGCGGCAGUGGAAGCCCGCGCGGAGAGGAGUACGCGUACGAGGGUUCACUGGUUCGGCUGCGGUGUGAGGCUGCCGUCGCCGCAGGGCCUGGCCAGCAAUGGGAACAGUAGGGGGUGGUGAGGCCUCUGUGGCAGCACAGCCUGCCACGGGAGGCAGGAGCAUGCGGCACGACCGGCGCUGCUUUGGGCGGCCGGAGCAAGAAGACCAGAGGUUGAAGAAGCACUACGGCCGUUGGAUGGACAUCGUGCGGUCACUGGAGUUAGAAUCAUUCAUAUUGACUAAGUUGACAAAGCCCUUCGUCCCCGUCAACUUAGUAGGCCCACAAGUCAGCCUCCCACCAAGGUGGGUCCCAGCUAGCCAGGGGAGUAUUCAUUUUUUUGUGCGUAAUAAGGAGGCACUUCCGGUGGGUCCGAGCUGACAGCGGGGGAACGUUUUUUUCACGAAAUAUGGUGGCCCGUCCGGUGGGUCCGAGCAGUCAGGGGGAAACGAUUUUUUCGCAAAAUACUGGUGGCCCGUCCGGUGGGUCCCCGCUGUCAAGUGGAGGAAUAAUUAUUUUCCGCGUAAUAAGUAGGCACUUCCUUGCGGCUGCCGUGGACCCAGCUGUCAGCCUCUCCACGUACAGUCCACAUCCGAUGGAAGUCGUUCCUUGACCACGUUGACCACGCCGCGCCGAGAGCACCAGGGCGGUGGACGACGGCGAGGCCUAGGAAGGGGACGACACGGAGCCGGGCAAGACGCGGCAGUGGAUGCCGACGCGGAGAGGAGUACAAGCGUUCACUGGUUCGGCUGCGGUGUGAGGCUGCUGUCACCGCAGAAUAACAGGGGUGUGGGUGAGUGGACGGAUGGCCUGGCCAGUGGUGGGAGUAGUAUGGGGGCGGUGAGGCCUCCGCGGUAGCACAGCCGGCCACGGGAGGAAGGAGCAGGUGGCACGACCGGCACUGCUUUGGGCGGCUGGAGCAAGAAGACCAGAGGUUGAAGAAGCACUAUGGCCGUUGGAUGGACAUCAUACGGUCACUGGAGUAUUGACUAAGUUGACAAAGCCCUCCGUCCCCGUCAACUUAGUAGGCCCACAAGUCAGCCCAACAAUAUGGUGGGUCCCAGCUAGCAGGGGGUAUUCAUUCUUUUGGGCAUAAUAAGGAGGCACUUCCUUGCGUGCGAAGAUAUAGCUGGUGAGUCCGACCUGUCCGCGGAGGAUACGUUUUUUUCGCGAAAUACAGAGGCCCUUCCUGUGGGUCCUAGCUGUCAGGUGGAGGAAUCAUUAUUUCGCGCAUAAUAAGGAGGCAUUUCCUUGCGUGUGGCCGUGGACCCAGCUGUCAGCCUCUCCACGUACAGUCCAGUUCCGAUGGAUGUCGUUCAUUGACCAUGUUGACCAGGCCGCGCCGAGAGCACCAGGGUGGUGGAUGACGGCGAGGCCUAGGUAGGGAAUGACACAGAGCCAGGGAAUACUCGGCGGUUGUUUCCCACACGGAGGAGUACGAGGGUUUACUGGUUUGUCUGCCGUCGCCGGAGAAUAACAGCAUGUGUGGGUGAGUAGAGGGAUGGCUAGGCCAGCGAUGGGAGUGCGGUGGGGCCGUGAGGCCUGCGCGACAGCAUAGCCGGCCACGGGAGGAGGGAGCAGGCAGUCCCACCGGCGCUUGUUUAAGCGGCUGGAGCAUGAAGAGCAGAGAUUGAAGAAGCAUGACAGCCGUUGGAUGGACAUCCAACAGUCACUGCUCUCAUGUGUUGACUAAGUUGACAGGGCGUUGCGUGUGCGUCAACAUUUUUUUAUGAAAGCAUACGCGUCAACCUGUAGUAGGCGCACAAGUCAGCCUCAAAUCUAUGGAAAACAUCAUACAUCCCAUCUGCCAUUAUUUCUAAUAAUGUACAGCCAAUUUGCUAAUUCUUAAGAUUUUUUUUGGAGCCCAUCUUCUUUUUGUUAGCAUUACACCCCAUAUUGUGGCCACGGUUAAAAAGUAUACGAAAUUUUGCAUAUUUCAGUGCGGUCAACUAUUUUUAAUUCAGAAAUAUCGAUUCACAUUCAAACUAUUUUGAAAAAUAAUUUAUAUAAAUAUAAAAUCCAAACAAUUGUCCACGCAUAAAACCAAUGGAAUUUAAGAUCUUGUAAUGAAAAAAAAAAUUGAAACUAAUUCCCGGUUUGAUGUGUUUUAAAAAUGUACAAGCCAUUUCUGGGCAAACCAAAUGAAACUCUCCUCGUCUUGAAAGAUUUGCAGCCCAGCAGGGCCGAUAAAGCAAGUAGGCCUUGUUUGGGUAUUUCUUAAAAAAUAGAACUGGGCAAGCCAUUUUCAGCAAGAAAAAAAUACAACUGGGCUCAUGAUGUGGUAAACAUAAAUAAAACCCUGGAUAGAUGGGCCACAACCCCCGCACAGCCUCGUUGUUACCCUGAUCCUUCGCUAAAACUAGUAUAAAUAACAACUGCUUGUUCCUCAAAAAAACUGUGCGACUUGCUGGGUCCCUGGUGUCAGCCACUCAUAGUGUAAUUCUCUCGUUUAUUGACUAUGUUGACAAUGACGUGAGCCCCAGAUGUCCAACCAUUAGGAGGAACCAUAUUUUUGGGCUUGUACUAUAGAGGCACUUGCUUGCGUACUGCCAUGACGCUGGUGGGUCCCUACUGUCAUCCUCUCCACGUACAGUCAUCUCCUUGUUCCUCUUGGUUGUUGAUGACGUUGACAAUGUAAGAGGGCGGCGCAUCGCGCGCACGGCGAGCGAACCAAGGCCGCAAGGCGGAGGACAACGGCGAGGCCUCGGACGGAACGAACAGGAGCCGUUGAAGAUGCGCCGGUCCAGUCGCAGGCAGAGGGGAGUAUGAGGGUUGACUGGUUCGGGCGCGGGUGCGUGUUGGGGCUGACGUCACCGGAGAAUAACAGGACGUGUGGGGGAAUAGAGGGAGGGACUGGCCAAUGUUGGAGGGUACAUACGGUAGGGCGGCGGAGGCGCAGCCAGCCAUGGGAGGCGGGAGCAGGCGGAGCCGACGGGGUGGUUUGGUUUGGGCGGCUGGAGGAAGGAGAAGACAAGAGAUAGAAGAUACAUGAGAGAUGUUGGAUGUCAAUCCAAUGGUGGUAGGCAGAACCGUUUGUUGACUGGCUAUUUCCUCGCGGGUCCCAAAUGUCAGAAUCCAAAUUUGUCACGGUCAUGCAGCCUUUAAUAUGAAAAUUUACAGCCCAUUUGAUGUGCUAGUUCGAAAUAAGUUUGUGGGUGCUGGUGAGGGCUAAUAACUUGGCUUCUGUAAUGCACAGUGAGCUCAAGCAGCCGACGAGAGUGAGGUUAUUUCCCUUGGUUGGGAUUUGUUACAAUAUUUCACUCUAAAUUAAACGAAUGGCAAGCCAUUUGCCUUGUUACAAAGAAAAUAUGACAGUCACAGCCGAGUUUAAAAGGGCAAGAACAUCUAACUCCAGCUUACAAACUGUACAAAAGCACGAGGGUUAAUUGUUCAUCAGGUUUACAAAAAAAAA
RNAcentral lists this long non-coding RNA (6362 nucleotides) under Triticum aestivum (bread wheat). RNAcentral describes it as "long non-coding RNA (TAES_LNC004985)". The record is from RNAcentral. Lineage: Eukaryota; Viridiplantae; Streptophyta; Magnoliopsida; Poales; Poaceae.